GGACGGGGACAACAGUUGGAAACGACUGCUAAUACCCGAUGUGCCGAGAGGUGAAAGAUUUAUCGCCUAAGGAUGGACUCGCGUCAGAUUAGCUAGUUGGUGUGGUAACGGCAUACCAAGGCAACGAUCUGUAGCUGGUGAGGAGGGAUGAUCAGCCACACUGGGACUGAGACACGGCCCAGACUCCUACGGGAGGCAGCAGUGGGGAAUUUUCCGCAAUGGGCGAAGGCCUGACGGAGCAACGCCGCGUGAGGGAGGAAGGUUUUUGGACUGUAAACCUCUUUUCUUAGGGAAGAUAAUGACGGUACCUAAGGAAUCAGCAUCGGCUAACUUCGUGCCAGCAGCCGCGGUAAUACGAGGGAUGCAAGCGUUAUCCGGAAUUAUUGGGCGUAAAGCGUCCGUAGGCGGUUUCGUAAGUCUGUUGUUAAAUAGUGCAGCUUAACUGCAUAGGGGCAAUGGAAACUGUGAGACUAGAGUGAGAUAGGGGUAAGGGGAAUUCCAGGUGUAGCGGUGAAAUGCGUAGAUAUCUGGAAGAACACCAGCGACGAAAGU
This 552-nucleotide ribosomal RNA is filed under the name uncultured Prochlorothrix sp. RNAcentral's name for it is "bacterial SSU rRNA". It matches the Rfam family "Bacterial small subunit ribosomal RNA", at positions 135 to 722 of the family's 1533-position model. The record is from RNAcentral. Lineage: Bacteria; Bacillati; Cyanobacteriota; Cyanophyceae; Prochlorotrichales; Prochlorotrichaceae.